UACGUAGGGCGCAAGCGUUGUCCGGAAUUACUGGGUUUAAAGGGUGUGUAGGCGGGCGUUUAAGUCAGUGGUGAAAUCUCCGAGCUCAACUCGGAAACUGCCAUUGAUACUAUUCGUCUUGAAUAUCGUUGAGGUAGGCGGAAUAUGUCAUGUAGCGGUGAAAUGCAUAGAUAUGACAUAGAACACCAAUUGCGAAGGCAGCUUACUAAACGAUCAUUGACGCUGAGGCACGAAAGCGUGGGGAUCAAACAGGAUUAGAUACCCUGGUAGUCCACGCCCUAAACGAUUAUUACUCGACAUACGCGAUACACAGUGUGUGUCUGAGCGAAAGCAUUAAGUAAUCCACCUGGGAAGUACGACCGCAAGGUUGAA
RNAcentral lists this ribosomal RNA (372 nucleotides) under uncultured bacterium. RNAcentral describes it as "bacterial SSU rRNA". It matches the Rfam family "Bacterial small subunit ribosomal RNA", at positions 524 to 898 of the family's 1533-position model. The record is from RNAcentral.